GUGUCAGCAGCCGCGGUAAGACAGAGGGUGCAAACGUUGUUCGGAAUUACUGGGCGUAAAGCGUGUGUAGGCUGCCCCGCAAGUCGGGUGUGAAAGCCCCGGGCUCAACCUGGGAAGUGCACUCGAAACUGCGGGGCUGGAGUCCUGGAGAGGAAGGCGGAAUUCUCGGUGUAGAGGUGAAAUUCGUAGAUAUCGAGAGGAACACCGGUGGCGAAGGCGGCCUUCUGGACAGUGACUGACGCUGAGACACGAAAGCGUGGGGAGCAAACAGGAUUAGAUACCCUGGUAGUCCACGCCGUAAACGAUGGGUGCUAGGUGUCGCGGGCUUUGACCCCUGCGGUGCCGUAGCUAACGCAUUAAGCACCCCGCCUGGGGAGUACGGCCGCAAGGCUAAA
This 395-nucleotide ribosomal RNA is filed under the name uncultured bacterium. RNAcentral's name for it is "bacterial SSU rRNA". It matches the Rfam family "Bacterial small subunit ribosomal RNA", at positions 505 to 898 of the family's 1533-position model. The record is from RNAcentral.